CGCUUGACAAUGGGCGAAAGCCUGAUGCAGCAACGCCGCGUGAGCGAUGAAGGCCUUCGGGUCGUAAAGCUCUGUCCUCAAGGAAGAUAAUGACGGUACUUGAGGAGGAAGCCCCGGCUAACUACGUGCCAGCAGCCGCGGUAAUACGUAGGGGGCUAGCGUUAUCCGGAAUUACUGGGCGUAAAGGGUGCGUAGGUGGUUUCUUAAGUCAGAGGUGAAAGGCUACGGCUCAACCGUAGUAAGCCUUUGAAACUGGGAAACUUGAGUGCAGGAGAGGAGAGUGGAAUUCCUAGUGUAGCGGUGAAAUGCGUAGAUAUUAGGAGGAACACCAGUUGCGAAGGCGGCUCUCUGGACUGUAACUGACACUGAGGCACGAAAGCGUGGGGAGCAAACAGGAUUAGAUACCCUGG
Molecule: ribosomal RNA, 410 nt
Filed under: uncultured bacterium
Lineage: Bacteria
Description: bacterial SSU rRNA
Rfam family: Bacterial small subunit ribosomal RNA
Source: RNAcentral